Molecule: ribosomal RNA, 666 nt
Filed under: Triticum aestivum (bread wheat)
Lineage: Eukaryota; Viridiplantae; Streptophyta; Magnoliopsida; Poales; Poaceae
Description: partial small subunit ribosomal RNA
Source: RNAcentral
AUGCUUCUUGUUCAAUCUGUACUCUGUGCAAUUCCGCUGCACGCGAUGAUGGCGCUCGACCUCCCACAGAAGACAAUUUCAGCAAUGAACAGAAUAUGCCGCAGCUUCUUAUGGUGCGCUGAGUCAAGCUCGUCUGGCGGAAACUGCGCAGUCGCUUGGGAGGCUGUGUGUGCCCCCAAAUGGGCGGGUGGAUUAGGCAUACCCAACCUAGGGUGGAUGAACAAAGCUGUGCAGGCCAGGUGGCCUUGGUUACAGAGAUCAGACACAUCGCGACCAUGGGCAGAAUUUGACAUCACAGUACCAAAAGCUUCAAGACAACUCUUCAACGCGGCUGCUCGCUGGGUUCUCGGCGACGGAAAUACAACACUCUUUUGGGAAGAUAGAUGGCUCGAAGGACACCGGAACGUGGAGAUUGCACCCUUGACCUACGACCGAGUCAGGAAGAAAACGAGGAACACAUGCACCGUAGCCCAGGCCCUACUGAAUGAUGGUUGGGUCACCCAAGUAAGCCCGGAGGUAUCAACUGACUCGCUAAGGGAAUAUCUACAGCUAUGGAACAUGAUCCAAGAACUUCAACUUGACCCAACGCAACAUGAUACCAUCACUUGGUCAUGGGAAGCAAGCGGAUGCUAUUCAGCGAGGACUGUCUAUGCAGCCAAAUUCUAG